GUGCCUCUCAGCUCCUGACACUCCCCAAAAAGCACCAGGAUUGGUGCACUUGGAAGUGCACGGGCUGCUGUCCUCCCUGCCAGAGGAGCUGCUGCAGGGGUGAGGGCUGAGAGCACAUGGAGUCCUUCCCUAGAGCCAGCUCUGCAUUAUGGAAAGGGGUGAGGACAUAGAAAAAGGCACCCUGUGGUUGCUCUCCACAAUUACCAGUCCAGCGUUUUGGAGGAGCAGUAGUUUCAGAUUGGUCGUGUUGCUCUUUGAAUGUUCUGAUCGCCCCAACAGAGCAAGAUGUGUGCAGACAUCUCAGGUACCCUGUGAAAGAGCUGUGAGGAGUUCCAGUUCUGCCCCAUUUUAGUCAAAUCAAAACAGGGAUCUACAGCAAGGGCUGAAAGAAUGAGCUACCAGGAGCACACAGGAAGGUGCUGCUUUGGCAGGAUUUGAGGUUUUGAUGGGUGUGCUUGGCACAGAUCCUCCAGCCAUGAGUUACCUUCUUCCACUGCAUUCCUGGAUCUGAGCUGAUAAUAAAUAAUUAGCUGAUAGUAAAUAACCUGGAUUUAGGAUCCAUAUAGAUAGAGAAUGAUCUAAAUUCAUAUGUACUGAAACCAUUUGGAUGAAGCUGUUCUCCGUAGAUCAAGACAGGCAAGGAACUCAGAGUAUGUUGAGGGGUAUCCAUGUUUUUCCUGUAGGGAAUGCUGACCGGCUGUUUAAGGCCUAUGGUAAAAGAACUUAUAAAUCUUAUUUUCUGACAUGUUCACUCACCCAGAAGUGUAUUGCAUUCUCCUAGUCUUCACUGGGCUGUUUUUUUUACAUCUUUCUCACUUGCUUGAGGUCAGGUCGAUGAACAAGAGGAAGGGGACUGUGAGAAGAGGAAGGGGACUGAGCAGGAGGAAAGAAGGAAAAAUGAAAGAACAUUCAAAGUUGAAAACAAUAAAAACCCAGACAUAUAAGACAGCGUCCAUUUCCAUGCUUUCUCCACCGUGCAUUGCUGUAGAUAUGGAACUGUCUACAACACCUUGCCUGUCAUUUUAA
This 1026-nucleotide long non-coding RNA is filed under the name Cyanoderma ruficeps (rufous-capped babbler). RNAcentral's name for it is "lncRNA (ENSCRFG00000014602.1)". The record is from RNAcentral. Lineage: Eukaryota; Metazoa; Chordata; Aves; Passeriformes; Timaliidae.